AGCGAACGCUGGCGGCAGGCCUAACACAUGCAAGUCGAGCGGACACCGCAAGGUGUCAGCGGCAGACGGGAGAGUAACACGUGGGAACGUGCCCUUCGGUUCGGAAUAACUCGGGGAAAC
This 120-nucleotide ribosomal RNA is filed under the name uncultured bacterium. RNAcentral describes it as "partial 16S ribosomal RNA". It matches the Rfam family "Bacterial small subunit ribosomal RNA", at positions 29 to 157 of the family's 1533-position model. The record is from RNAcentral.